AGAUCUGGGAGUGCUCGCAAGAGAACCGGAACACAGGUGCUGCAUGGCUGUCGUCAGCUCGUGUCGUGAGAUGUUGGGUUAAGUCCCGCAACGAGCGCAACCCUUGUCAUUAGUUGCCACCAUUCAGUUGGGCACUCUAAUGAGACUGCCGGUGACAAACCGGAGGAAGGUGGGGAUGACGUCAAGUCCUCAUGGCCCUUAUGGGUAGGGCUUCACACGUCAUACAAUGGUCGGUACAGAGGGUCGCCAACCCGCGAGGGGGAGCCAAUCCCACAAAGCCGAUCGUAGUCCGGAUUGGAGUCUGCAACUCGACUCCAUGAAGUCGGAAUCGCUAGUAAUCGUGGAUCAGCAUGUCACGGUGAAUACGUUCCCGGGUCUU
RNAcentral lists this ribosomal RNA (379 nucleotides) under uncultured Rhodocyclaceae bacterium. RNAcentral describes it as "bacterial SSU rRNA". It matches the Rfam family "Bacterial small subunit ribosomal RNA", at positions 1004 to 1382 of the family's 1533-position model. Lineage: Bacteria; Pseudomonadati; Pseudomonadota; Betaproteobacteria; Rhodocyclales; Rhodocyclaceae. The record is from RNAcentral.